This 71-nucleotide transfer RNA is filed under the name Saccoglossus kowalevskii. Its description in RNAcentral is "tRNA-Glu". It matches the Rfam family "tRNA". From Rfam's summary of the family: Transfer RNA (tRNA) molecules are approximately 80 nucleotides in length. Their secondary structure includes four short double-helical elements and three loops (D, anti-codon, and T loops). The record is from RNAcentral. Lineage: Eukaryota; Metazoa; Hemichordata; Enteropneusta; Harrimaniidae.
UCCCAUGUGUGUAGUGGUUAGCAUUUGGCGCUUUCACCGCCAAGGCCCGGGUUCAAUUCCCGGUGUGGGAA